AUUGAACGCUGGCGGCAGGCCUAACACAUGCAAGUCGAGCGGAUGAAGGGAGCUUGCUCCUGGAUUCAGCGGCGGACGGGUGAGUAAUGCCUAGGAAUCUGCCUGGUAUUGGGGGAUAACGUCCGUAAACGGGCGCUAAUACCGCAUACGUCCUGAUGUAGAAAGUGGGGGAUCUUCGGACCUCACGCUAUCAGAUGAGCCUAGGUCGGAUUAGCUAGUUGGUAGGGUAAAGGCCUACCAAGGCGACGAUCCGUAACUGGUCUGAGAGGAUGAUCAGUCACACUGGAACUGAGACACGGUCCAGACUCCUACGGGAGGCAGCAGUGGGGAAUAUUGGACAAUGGGCGAAAGCCUGAUCCAGCCAUGCCGCGUGUGUGAAGAAGGUCUUCGGAUUGUAAAGCACUUUAAGUUGGGAGGAAGGGAAGUAAGUUAAUACCUUGAUGUUUUGACGUUACCAAAAGAAUAAGCACCGGCUAACUUCGUG
This 484-nucleotide ribosomal RNA is filed under the name uncultured bacterium. RNAcentral's name for it is "partial 16S ribosomal RNA". It matches the Rfam family "Bacterial small subunit ribosomal RNA", at positions 30 to 507 of the family's 1533-position model. The record is from RNAcentral.